Molecule: transfer RNA, 93 nt
Filed under: Gemmata algarum
Lineage: Bacteria; Pseudomonadati; Planctomycetota; Planctomycetia; Gemmatales; Gemmataceae
Description: tRNA-Sec
Source: RNAcentral
GAGAGCAUUUCACGGGUUUUGUUCAUUGGUCUUCAAAACCUGUGUAGGGUGUGAACAACGCUCUAGGUGGGUUCGAUUCCCAUCCGCUCCCGC